GACCUCGUAGCUCAGUGGAUAGAGCGUCCGCCUCCUAAGCGGAAGGUCCCGGGUUCGACCCCCGGCUGGGUUG
This is a transfer RNA of Basidiobolus meristosporus CBS 931.73, 73 nucleotides long. It matches the Rfam family "tRNA". Rfam says of the family: Transfer RNA (tRNA) molecules are approximately 80 nucleotides in length. The record is from Rfam. Lineage: Eukaryota; Fungi; Basidiobolomycota; Basidiobolomycetes; Basidiobolales; Basidiobolaceae.